GAUGAACGCUGGCGGCGUGCCUAAUACAUGCAAGUCGAGCGAACGGACGAGAAGCUUGCUUUUCUGAUGUUAGCGGCGGACGGGUGAGUAACACGUGGAUAACCUACCUAUAAGACUGGGAUGACUUCGGGAAACCGGAGCUAAUACCGGAUAAUAUUUUGAACCGCAUGGUUCAAAAGUGAAAGACGGUCUUGCUGUCACUUAUAGAUGGAUCCGCGCUGCAUUAGCUAGUUGGUAAGGUAACGGCUUACCAAGGCAACGAUGCAUAGCCGACCUGAGAGGGUGAUCGGCCACACUGGAACUGAGAACCGGUCCCGACUCCUACGGGAGGCAGCAGUAGGGAAUCUUCCGCAAUGGGCGAAAGCCUGACGGAGCAACGCCGCGUGAGUGAUGAAGGUCUUCGGAUCGUAAAACUCUGUUAUUAGGGAAGAACAUAUGUGUAAGUAACUGUGCACAUCUUGACGGUACCUAAUCAGAAAGCCACGGCUAACUACGUG
This 497-nucleotide ribosomal RNA is filed under the name uncultured bacterium. RNAcentral's name for it is "partial 16S ribosomal RNA". It matches the Rfam family "Bacterial small subunit ribosomal RNA", at positions 28 to 507 of the family's 1533-position model. The record is from RNAcentral.